AUUGAACGCUGGCGGCAGGCCUAACACAUGCAAGUCGAGCGAAUGGUGGACGGGUGAGUCAUGUCUGCGACGAUGCCUGAUGGAGGGGGAUAACUACUGGAAACGGUAGAUGAUACCGCAUACCAUCGGAUGUGCCCAGAUGGGAUUAGCUAGUAGGUGGGGGAAAGGCUCACAUAGGCGACGAUCCCUAGCUGGUCUGAGAGGAUGAAGAGCCACACUGGAACUGAGACACGGUCCAGACCCUGACGGGUGGCAGCAGGGGGUAAUAUUGGACAAUGGGCGGCAGCCUGAUGCAGCCAUGCCGCGUGUAUGAAGAAGGCCGUCGGGUUGUAAAGUACUUUCAGCGGGGAGGCGUUACCCGCAGAAGAAGCACCGGCUAACUCCGUGCCAGCAGCCGCGGUAAUAC
Molecule: ribosomal RNA, 406 nt
Filed under: uncultured bacterium
Lineage: Bacteria
Description: partial 16S ribosomal RNA
Rfam family: Bacterial small subunit ribosomal RNA
Source: RNAcentral